Molecule: unclassified non-coding RNA, 450 nt
Filed under: Hevea brasiliensis (rubber tree)
Lineage: Eukaryota; Viridiplantae; Streptophyta; Magnoliopsida; Malpighiales; Euphorbiaceae
Source: RNAcentral
CUCACUCUCACUCUCACUCUCACUUUCCUCUGUACCAGACUCCGACUCCGAAUAUUCGGACUCUUCACUGUCGGAACCUGAAUCUGAAUCGUAGCUUCUACUGCGUCGCUUUCUUGAUCUUCGUUUUCGCUCAACGCCUCUGCUGCUUUUCCUAUCUUCUUCUUCUGCAGAAUCGGAAUCAAAAUCGGAGCGUUUAUCUAACUGCUUUUCCCUUUUUUGUUUGCUGAGGUUUCUAUGUUGCGAAUCGGAAUCGGUGCCAAUAUCUUCUCGACCUUUUCCUUUGGAUUUUUUGUCGUCCUUAUCAGGUAGAGAACCGUUUCGAUCUUUGGCCAUUUUUCAGCUUCUGGGUUUGGCUGUGAGAUGAUCACAAUCCGCAGAGAGAGAGAGACAAAGCUUAUGAGUAGUUGGUGUUCUGGGAGCUCGUCUGUUUGGAUGCAGGGAAAGAUGUGG